Delphinapterus leucas (beluga whale) is the source of this 3398-nucleotide long non-coding RNA. RefSeq lists it as uncharacterized. NCBI's taxonomy places the organism in Eukaryota, Metazoa, Chordata, Mammalia, Artiodactyla, Monodontidae. The record is from RefSeq and is a predicted model, not a curated record.
GCUUCCGCUUCCGCCUCGGGAGGUGGCUCCCCGCGCGCUCCGCCUCGCCCCCGGGCCGGCCCGCGAGGGGGCGUGGCGUGGCAUGUCGGGCCCGUGGGCGGGGCCCGGCGCGCCACUGGGGCAGUGGGGGUCCCGGCCCCUCCUGGGAGGAUCGGGCGCUGUCGGGCCGCGCGCGCUCAGGAGGCCGCCCUAGUCUCCUGUCCCGUCAUCUGUCCCCUUAGCUGUCCCAUCUCCUGUUCCCUCUCCUGUCCCUCACCUGUGCUUCAGCUGUCCCUCACCUGUCUUAUCUCCUGUCCUUUUCCUGUGCCCUCAGGUGUCCCUUCAGCCCCCCUCAGUUCCCCCAGACCCCCUUAGCCUCGGAACGGGCGCGUGGCUGUGCCCUGCGGCUGCAGGUGGCCUAGGGGACGAGGCGCAGCUGUUCCUGAGGCGAGUGGGUGACCGCAGAGCAGGAGCGCUGUCCCGCCUGGCAGCCUGGACACCGGCCCUCCUCCUGGACGGAAGGAAGGAAAGGAAACGUCAGGAGGAGGCGGGGUGAAAGUGAAACUAUCGUCUGGGAACCUGUGAGAUGCGCUUGGGCCCAGCGCGGGGACUCGUCGCUGAGGCAAGGAGGGUGCCUGGCAGAAUGAAAUCCAGCUGGAAGGUGGUUUGGAAGGGUGAACAAAAGCAAACACAGGGAGCACUAGUGUGACCACCUGAAUCCAGUGUCACGUGGUCGGGAUAAUUAGCUUUCACACUGAUGGACUCUGGUUCUUUUUCUUCCUUACAAGAAUCGGAUGUGGGAAGUUAGAGUGGUGUCAGUCAUCUUCCUCUUGUGAUCUUCAUCAAAUCUCUCGUUCUGGGCCACAGUGAAGUGAUUCUUCCAAUCUCCCACGGCCCCUGAAACAGACAUGGGGUGGUGGGUGUCAGUACCGUGGGGUGAUUUGGAUUUCUCUGUUCUCCCGUUUCUGUGAGGAUUUCUACUCCCCGACAGGGAGGGACAGAGUCGGACAAACAUUUCUCUGGCUGGCCUGGCAGUGUCUCCUCCUGGAAGGGGGAGGAAUCGCCUGUCUGGCUUGUGGGUCGGGAGGUGACACGGCCGCGUGAACAGCAGGUCUGAGGAGCUCUCUUGUCCUUCCCUCCUGCCCGUCGCAGCACGCUCGGUGCUUGUGCCUGUGGCUGGCGUCCUGCAGGUAGAAGGGCCUGCUUCUGGAAGGACUCAACGUGCGGUUUUGAAAAAGGAGAGAAGAAAAAGAAGAUUCCCCUCCAGCUCUCCACGUGCAAUCCCUGUUCCCUUUCCCGGACUGCUUUUUCUACAUAGUACCUACUAGCAACUAUUAUCCUGAAUUUUCGUGUGUUUUGGUCACUGCUCUGAACAUUGCCCAGAACAGUGCCUGGUACAUAGUAGCCACUCCAGUCAGUAAGUAUUUUGGAGUGAAUGGACCUCUCUGAUAGCUUAGAGCCCUCCAGAAAGUGGAUUCUUUUCUCCAUCUGACUUAAUUCUGUAUAUUUUCACCUUAUCAGCCAGAACUCCAGAAGGAAGGUGAGGACAAAGGGUUGGACUUAGACACCAAACCUCACUCUCCAGUUGUGGCUGAACAUUGAUUUCAUUUCAUCUGUGGUUUCUUAAAUUAUUUUUUUCCCAGAACCAUUUAUUAUUGAUCUUAUUUUUCUUAUCUAUAGAAAAGAAACUCCCCAAAGACUCUGAAAUAUUGGACAAUUCCUUUAAGAUUAUGGUGAAAAGGAAACAUAAAAACCUUUUCUCAUGAAUGGAGAAAUAGAGUGGUUCAUGAAUGGAGCUGGAAUCGACGUGUAGUUUGCCAUCGGGUUCUGCUUCAUGACGUCAAAUGAACUGUAAUGGACAAUUUUAUCCAGAACUUUAUCAUCUAGGCUCUUUCCAGUAAAUUCUGCCAGCUUCAGAAUUUCAUGCUUUGGGUUCUAUGAUCAGAGUCAAAAGAAAAGACUUGAUAUAAGAUAAUUUAUAUCAAUAAAUAAUAGUUUCAAAAGACUGUUGGAAUGAAUUAAUGCUAGUAAUCAGUAACAUGUCAUGAAUUAAAAUUUUAAAAAAUCGGGUCUCACAAGUGCUCAGCUUUUCAGAUGUGACUCACUUUGAUGUGGUGACUGUAUCAACUGGAGUCAUUACGCUCUUCUUGUUCUAACAUGGAAGCGUCAACUGAGCGUGUCGGUGAGACACUCACCACACAGUGGCGUGCAGUGCAUGGGGCGCGUGCCACGGAGGGAUUUGUCCAGAAUUAGGCCCAAAUGUCCUGCUCUAGCCCGUCCAGCUAAAUGCCCCACGGGGACAGCCACUGGACUGAUGCUGAGAGCAGGUGUUGCGGCAGCGUUGGGGACCUGGCCACAGAGGCCCAUCUCCUGCUUCUCAUGUGGACAGAAGAGGCCCCAGACUUUCCCAGUGGUGCCGGUGAGGGGGGCACGAGGGUGGGAGGGGCUUCUUUGCACCCAAGAGGCCCUGUGGCAGUAGCUGCAGUGCCCAGCUGGUCGGGGUGCUUCGGUGUCUCUGAGAAGGUUUCAGCCCCAUUGUCGCCACUGUUUUCUCCUCAGAGGGACGCAGCCCAGGGGCGCUGUGGUGUGGGAAGGCCCCUGUGUCCCGGAGGAGUGGUGCGUUGCCGGUGGGAGCGUUUAUCCCCGCCACUGUGUCUCCUGCUUUAAAAUGGGCUCCCGCUUUGAAGCUUGGAUGUCAAAAGUGCUUAAUUUAGUUGGCCUCACACAGACUAGGAAUCAGCAAGAGUGCUGAGAACUGUGCGCCCUGAGUGACCACAGGCAGGUGACAGCCCAGAGCAUGAUCGCAGAAACAUGUAAGAGGGCGCUGGGGACCCUGAGGUUAGACUGCCCAUUUCGGUGAAGCCUCCUCCUGGCAUUCAUAAUGCAUUAGGAUCUACCCCAGGGAUCUAUCCACCGUUCCCAGGGACACAUCCUCCUUUGACACUGCUAUGACGAUAUGUGGGCAAGCGUCACCUACAUGGACUUUCCCUGGCCUUAGCUUAGUAGCAUCUGAUAUCAUGGCCCCUGUUUGUCACAUCCAGUCAUAAAAGAGCAAACCCUUCCUUAUAACCCCUGCCAUAAUAUUCCUUAGUUGAGUGUCUAUAUCUGGAAUCCUGUGACGAGACAACUCUCUGAACUGCAGCAGUGCAUAUGUGUAUAUGUGACCAGAGUCUCCUUUUGUAUGCCCUCCUGUUGUUUAGUUUUUCGGUGCUCUCUUGUGGUGUCUCCACACUUUUGUUUUGUUACCAAGUAAACACAAGGGAGAGAAUUUUAUACUGAUACCUGUAUGGGUUGUCCUGCUAGCCCUGGAAUCAUGGUUCUGAGAAUCCUAGAAAUGUAAUCCUACAAACUUACCUAUUUUAAAAAACCAUACAGAACAGAUCAGUGUUUGCCAGAGGUGGGAGGUGAAGUGGGUGAAG